RNAcentral lists this ribosomal RNA (904 nucleotides) under Enterobacter ludwigii. Its description in RNAcentral is "bacterial SSU rRNA". It matches the Rfam family "Bacterial small subunit ribosomal RNA", at positions 92 to 992 of the family's 1533-position model. Lineage: Bacteria; Pseudomonadati; Pseudomonadota; Gammaproteobacteria; Enterobacterales; Enterobacteriaceae. The record is from RNAcentral.
CGAGCGGCGGAGGGGUGAGUAGUGUGGGGGAAAGUGCCUGAUGGGGGGGGAUAACUAGUGGAAGGGGUAGCUAAUACCGCAUAGCGUCGCAAGACCAAAGAGGGGGACCUUCGGGCCUCUUGCCCUCAUAUGUGCCCAUAUGGGAUUAGCUAGUAGGUGGGGUAACGGCUCCCCUACGCGACGAUCCCUAGCUGGUCUGAGAGGAUGACCCCCCACACUGGAACUGACACACGGUCCAGACUCCUACGGGAGGCAGCAGUGGGGAAUAUUGCACAAUGGGCGCAACCCUGAUGCCCCCGUGCCGCGUGUAUGAAAAAGGCCUUCGGGUUGUAAAGUUCUUUCCGCGGGGAAGAAGGUGUUGAGGUUAAUAACCUCAGCUAUUGACGUUCCCCGCAAAAAAAGCCCCGGCUAUCUCCGUGCCAGCCCCCGCGGUAAUACGGAGGGUGCAAGCGUUAAUCAGAAUUACUGGGCGUAAAGCGCACGCGGGCGGUCUGUCAAGUCAGAUGUGAAAUCCCCGGGCUCAACCUGGGAACUGCAUUCGAAACUGGCAGGCUAGAGUCUUGUAGAGGGGGGUAGAAUUCCAGGUGUAGCGGUGAAAUGCGUAGAGAUCUGGAGGAAUACCGGUGGCGAAGGCGGCCCCCUGGACAAAGACUGACGCUCAGGUGCGAAAGCGUGGGGAGCAAACAGGAUUAGAUACCCUGGUAGUCCACGCCGUAAACGAUGUCGACUUGGAGGUUGUGCCCUUGAGGCGUGGCUUCCGGAGCUAACGCGUUAAGUCGACCGCCUGGGGAGUACGGCCGCAAGGUUAAAACUCAAAUGAAUUGACGGGGGCCCGCACAAGCGGUGGAGCAUGUGGUUUAAUUCGAUGCAACGCGAAGAACCUUACCUACUCUUGACAUCCAGA